RNAcentral lists this ribosomal RNA (540 nucleotides) under Talaromyces funiculosus. RNAcentral describes it as "eukaryotic LSU rRNA". The stretch from base 180 to 333 matches the Rfam family "5.8S ribosomal RNA". The record is from RNAcentral. Lineage: Eukaryota; Fungi; Ascomycota; Eurotiomycetes; Eurotiales; Trichocomaceae.
UUAAAGAGUGCGGGGCCUCGCGGCCACCUCCCACCCUUGUCUCUCUACACCUGUUGCUUUGGCGGGCCCACUGGGGCUCCCUGGUCGCCGGGGGACACCCGUCCCCGGGCCCGCGCCCGCCGAAGCGCUUCGUGAACCCUGAUGAAGAAGGGCUGUCUGAGUACUAUGAAAAUUGUCAAAACUUUCAACAAUGGAUCUCUUGGUUCCGGCAUCGAUGAAGAACGCAGCGAAAUGCGAUAAGUAAUGUGAAUUGCAGAAUUCCGUGAAUCAUCGAAUCUUUGAACGCACAUUGCGCCCCCUGGCAUUCCGGGGGGCAUGCCUGUCCGAGCGUCAUUUCUGCCCUCAAGCACGGCUUGUGUGUUGGGUGUGGUCCCCCCGGGGACCUGCCCGAAAGGCAGCGGCGACGUCCGUCUGGUCCUCGAGCGUAUGGGGCUCUGUCACUCGCUCGGGAAGGACCUGCGGGGGUUGGUCACCACCACAUUUUCCAUUAUGGUUGACCUCGGAUCAGGUAGGAGUUACCCGCUGAACUUAAGCAUAUCA